Long non-coding RNA from Silurus meridionalis, 374 nucleotides. RefSeq lists it as uncharacterized. The transcript is spliced from 3 exons. The record is from RefSeq and is a predicted model, not a curated record. NCBI's taxonomy places the organism in Eukaryota, Metazoa, Chordata, Actinopteri, Siluriformes, Siluridae.
GGAACGUGUGACGGAACACGGUUCGAAGCAGCGCGGCUCCCGGGGUCAUUCCCACCCAGCCGCUGUGUCCUGUACGCGAGCUUCACGCAGCUCCUCCUCCUCCAAUUAGCAUCCCGGUGACGUACAAGUGAUUCCACAGCGCCAUCUUGUGAUUCGGUCCUGUCUCCAGGUUCCUGUGAUCUCCCUCUCCACCACCUCAUGCGAUUGAUUAGCAGGAACAAAGUAAUAAAUUCACCAGCUUGUGCCUAUUGAUUCAUCAGCAAACAAACAAGAAACAAACAAAUCCAGUUUAAACCGGAUAUUAAUAGAAACAUGGGAGAAAAAACUUCCACCUAGGAUGAUGACAUCUGGAAUUCGGAAAUGCGAGUCUGAGG